RNAcentral lists this ribosomal RNA (243 nucleotides) under uncultured Actinomycetales bacterium. Its description in RNAcentral is "partial 16S ribosomal RNA". It matches the Rfam family "Bacterial small subunit ribosomal RNA", at positions 88 to 334 of the family's 1533-position model. The record is from RNAcentral. Lineage: Bacteria; Bacillati; Actinomycetota; Actinomycetes; Actinomycetales.
UACUCGAGUGGCGAACGGGUGAGUAACACGUGGGUGAUCUGCCCUGCACUUCGGGAUAAGCUUGGGAAGCUGGGUCUAAUACCGGAUAGGAGCCAUCUUUAGUGUGGUGGUUGGAAAGUUUUUUCGGUGUAGGAUGAGCUCGCGGCCUAUCAGCUUGUUGGUGGGGUAAUGGCCUACCAAGGCGGCGACGGGUAGCCGGCCUGAGAGGGUGUACGGCCACAUUGGGACUGAGAUACGGCCCAG